RNAcentral lists this ribosomal RNA (374 nucleotides) under uncultured organism. RNAcentral's name for it is "partial 16S ribosomal RNA". It matches the Rfam family "Bacterial small subunit ribosomal RNA", at positions 527 to 896 of the family's 1533-position model. The record is from RNAcentral.
GGGGGGGGCAAGCGUUUGUUCGGAAUUACUGGGCGUAAAGGGCGCGUAGGCUGUCCCGCAAGUCUUUCGUGAAAUCCCACAGCUCAACUGUGGAAUUGCGAGAGAAACUGCAGGACUUGAGUUCGGGAGAGGAGAGUGGAAUUCCCAGUGUAGCGGUGAAAUGCGUAGAUAUUGGGAGGAACACCGGUGGCGAAGGCGGCUCUCUGGACCGACACUGACGCUGAGGCGCGAAAGCUAGGGGAGCAAACGGGGAUUAGAUACCCCGGUAGUCCUAGCCCUAAACGAUGAGCACUUGGUGUGGCGGGUAUCGACCCCUGCCGUGCCCGAAGCUAACGCAUUAAGUGCUCCGCCUGGGGAGUACGGUCGCAAGGCUG